RNAcentral lists this ribosomal RNA (790 nucleotides) under uncultured Zavarzinella sp. Its description in RNAcentral is "bacterial SSU rRNA". It matches the Rfam family "Bacterial small subunit ribosomal RNA", at positions 8 to 796 of the family's 1533-position model. Lineage: Bacteria; Pseudomonadati; Planctomycetota; Planctomycetia; Gemmatales; Gemmataceae. The record is from RNAcentral.
AGAGUUUGAUCAUGGCUCAGGACGAACGCUGGCGGCGUGCUUAAUACAUGCAAGUCGAGCGAGAAGCCACUCCUCCGUAAGGAGGAGUGGUGGAAAGCGGCGAACGGGUGAGUAACACGUGGGUAACGUGCCCUGGACUCUGGGAUAACAGUGGGAAACCGCUGCUAAUACCGGAUAACCCCUACCAGUCGCAUGAUCGGUAGGGCAAAGCUCCGGCGGUCCGGGAUCGGCCCGCGGUGUAUCAGCUUGUUGGUGGGGUAACGGCCUACCAAGGCAGUGACGCAUAGCUGGCGUGAGAGCGCGACCAGCCACACUGGGACUGAGACACUGGCCAGACACCUACGGGUGGCUGCAGUCGAGGAUCUUUGGCAAUGGGCGCAAGCCUGACCAAGCGACGCCGCGUGUGCGAUGAAGGCCUUCGGGUUGUAAAGCACUGUCGAGGGGGAUCAAAGCCCGCAAGGGCUUGAGAGAUCCCUGGAGGAAGCACGGGCUAAGUUCGUGCCAGCAGCCGCGGUAAGACGAACCGUGCGAACGUUGUUCGGAAUCACUGGGCUUAAAGGGCGCGUAGGCGGUCGGGCCAGUCCGGGGUGAAAUCCUGCAGCUCAACUGUAGAAGUGCCUUGGAUACUGCCCGGCUCGAGGGAGGUAGGGGUCUGUGGAACUUCUGGUGGAGCGGUGAAAUGCGUUGAUAUCAGAAGGAACGCCGGUGGCGAAAGCGACAGACUGGACCUCUUCUAACGCUGAGGCGCGAAAGCUAGGGGAGCAAACGGGAUUAGAUACCCCCGUAGUCC